Molecule: ribosomal RNA, 1280 nt
Filed under: metagenome
Description: bacterial LSU rRNA
Rfam family: Bacterial large subunit ribosomal RNA
Source: RNAcentral
CGGGUAGAGAAUACCGAGGCGUACGAGUGAACUAUGGUUAAGGAACUCGGCAAAAUGCCCCCGUAACUUCGGGAGAAGGGGGACCACACCCGGUGAACACCCGUGCGGUGGGAGCGGGGUGGGGUGGCACAAACCAGUGAGAAGCGACUGUUUACUAAAAACACAGGUCCGUGCGAAGUCGCAAGACGAGGUAUACGGACUGACGCCUGCCCGGUGCUGGAAGGUUAAGAGGACCCGUCAACCCCGUACGGGGUGAAGCGGAGAAUUUAAGCCCCAGUAAACGGCGGUGGUAACUAUAACCAUCCUAAGGUAGCGAAAUUCCUUGUCGGGUAAGUUCCGACCUGCACGAAUGGCGUAACGACUUCUCAGCUGUCUCAACCAUAGACUCGGCGAAAUUGCACUACGAGUAAAGAUGCUCGUUACGCGCGGCAGGACGAAAAGACCCCGGGACCUUCACUACAACUUGGUAUUGGAGUUCGAUACGGUUUGUGUAGGAUAGGUGGGAGACUGUGAAGCGGCCACGCCAGUGGUUGUGGAGUCGUUGUUGAAAUACCACUCUGACCGUAUUGGGCCUCUAACCUCGAACCCUGAACCGGGUUCAGGGACAGUGCCUGGCGGGUAGUUUAACUGGGGCGGUUGCCUCCUAAAAUGUAACGGAGGCGCCCAAAGGUUCCCUCAACCUGGACGGCAAUCAGGUGUCGAGUGCAAGUGCACAAGGGAGCUUGACUGCGAGACGAACAUGUCAAGCAGGGACGAAAGUCGGGACUAGUGAUCCGGCACCCCCGAGUGGAAGGGGUGUCGCUCAACGGAUAAAAGGUACCCCGGGGAUAACAGGCUGAUCUUCCCCAAGAGUCCAUAUCGACGGGAUGGUUUGGCACCUCGAUGUCGGCUCGUCGCAUCCUGGGGCUGGAGCAGGUCCCAAGGGUUGGGCUGUUCGCCCAUUAAAGCGGCACGCGAGCUGGGUUUAGAACGUCGUGAGACAGUUCGGUCUCUAUCCGCCGCGCGCGUCAGAAGCCUGAGGAAACCUGUCCCUAGUACGAGAGGACCGGGACGGACGAACCUCUGGUCCACCAGUUGUCCCACCAGGGGCACCGCUGGAUAGCCACGUUCGGACAGGAUAACCGCUGAAAGCAUCUAAGCGGGAAACCCCCUCCAAGACCAGGCUUCUCACCCUUUUAGAGGGAUAAGGCCCCCCGCAGACCACGGGAUCAAUAGACCAGACCUACACGCCCCGCAAGGGGUUCAGGGAACUGGCACUAACCGGCCGAAAACUUACCCAA